This is a long non-coding RNA of Rattus rattus (black rat), 955 nucleotides long. RefSeq lists it as uncharacterized. The transcript has 3 exons. The record is from RefSeq and is a predicted model, not a curated record. NCBI's taxonomy places the organism in Eukaryota, Metazoa, Chordata, Mammalia, Rodentia, Muridae.
GUGGGGAGACCUGCUGCCUCGGGAGGGCAACGAUGAAAGCUCCGCGGCUGUGAAGCUAGCAGUACCUCUACGCUUCUGCGGUGUCCAGUUCAGCAACCUCUACGUGGGCAUCAAUGGCAUCAUCUCCACCCAGGACUUACCCAGGGAGACUUAAUAUGUCGUUGAUGAUUUUCCUACUGACUUCCCAGCCAUCGCCCCAUUCCUGGCUGACAACCACUCGAGUCACAGCAGUGGCCGGAUCCUGUGUGGAGGACACCUCCUGGGCUGUGCUGAGUCUGGCUGCUUGCUACCUGUGCACAGGCUUCCCGCUGACCCGGUUCAGCUUCUCCCCUACCCACUUCUUCCUGGCCACCUGGGAGCAAGUGGGCCCCUAGGAGGAGGACAGGCUUAGGGCUGCAUGGUCUGGAGAGCUGAACACUUUCCAGGCCGUUCUGGCAUCCGAUGAAUGUGAUUCCGAUGCCCUCUUUCUCUAUCCUGCCAAUGGUCUUCAGUUUUUGGAACUCGCCCCAAACAAUCCUACAGUGUCCAGCUGCAGCUUCCUGCUAAGGUGGGCUUCUGCCAAGGGGAAGCAGAUGACCUGAAGAGAAAAGCCCUGUAUUUCAGCCUGACUAACAAUGAGCACUCGGUGAAGAAUCUCUACCAGUGAGUAAUGUGGAGUGUGUGACUGUGCUAUGCACUGGAAGGACAUUUAGGAGGGACACUAUCUCUAGUGGCCAGAAACCAUUUGAUAAUAACCUUUGGUGGCUUCUAAGAAAGGCGCUGGAUCAAAACCAAGAGCUAAGCUGGACCUCUGGAGCUUCAGGCUCUCCAAGAUGUAAAAGAUUCUUUCUUUUUCCUGCACUAUCUGUCAGGCAUAGAAACCAGAACCAGCAGUGAUUAUAUGUUUUUGCAGAGCUACUGGGGCUUGCUGUGAAAAACAUUGUUCUUGGGGCUACACAAAAAUAUCCAGUCAUAA